Non-coding RNA from Triticum aestivum (bread wheat), 135 nucleotides. NCBI's taxonomy places the organism in Eukaryota, Viridiplantae, Streptophyta, Magnoliopsida, Poales, Poaceae. The record is from Rfam.
AAAGUACUCCCUUCGUCCUAAAUUUCUUGUCUUAGAUUUGUCUAGAUACGGAUGUAUCAAGUCACAUUUUAGUAUUAGAUACAUCCGUAUCAAGACAAAUCUAAGACAAGAAUUUUGGGACGGAGGGAGUACUUG